This 314-nucleotide ribosomal RNA is filed under the name uncultured bacterium. RNAcentral's name for it is "partial 16S ribosomal RNA". It matches the Rfam family "Bacterial small subunit ribosomal RNA", at positions 495 to 807 of the family's 1533-position model. The record is from RNAcentral.
GUAUAAGAGACAGCAGUAGCCGCGGGAAUACAGAGGGUGCGAGCGUUAAUCGGAUUUACUGGGCGUAAAGCGUGCGUAGGCGGCUUUUUAAGUCGGAUGUGAAAUCCCUGAGCUUAACUUAGGAAUUGCAUUCGAUACUGGGAAGCUAGAGUAUGGGAGAGGAUGGUAGAAUUCCAGGUGUAGCGGUGAAAUGCGUAGAGAUCUGGAGGAAUACCGAUGGCGAAGGCAGCCAUCUGGCCUAAUACUGACGCUGAGGUACGAAAGCAUGGGGAGCAAACAGGAUUAGAUACCCCAGUAGUCCCUGUCUCUUAUAC